Molecule: ribosomal RNA, 497 nt
Filed under: uncultured bacterium
Lineage: Bacteria
Description: partial 16S ribosomal RNA
Rfam family: Bacterial small subunit ribosomal RNA
Source: RNAcentral
GACGAACGCUGGCGGCGUGCCUAAUACAUGCAAGUAGAACGCUGAAGCUUGGUGCUUGCCCCGAGCGGAUGAGUUGCGAACGGGUGAGUAACGCGUAGGUAACCUGCCUGGUAGCGGGGGAUAACUAUUGGAAACGAUAGCUAAUACCGCAUAAGAGUAGAUGUUGCAUGACAUUUGCUUAAAAGGUGCAAUUGCAUCACUACCAGAUGGACCUGCGUUGUAUUAGCUAGUUGGUGAGGUAACGGCUCACCAAGGCAACGAUACAUAGCCGACCUGAGAGGGUGAUCGGCCACACUGGGACUGAGACACGGCCCAGACUCCUAAGGGAGGCAGCAGUAGGGAAUCUUCGGCAAUGGACGGAAGUCUGACCGAGCAACGCCGCGUGAGUGAAGAAGGUUUUCGGAUCGUAAAGCUCUGUUGUAAGAGAAGAACGAGUGUGAGAGUGGAAAGUUCACACUGUGACGGUAUCUUACCAGAAAGGGACGGCUAACUACGUG